This 463-nucleotide ribosomal RNA is filed under the name uncultured bacterium. RNAcentral's name for it is "bacterial SSU rRNA". It matches the Rfam family "Bacterial small subunit ribosomal RNA", at positions 330 to 792 of the family's 1533-position model. The record is from RNAcentral.
UCCAGACUCCUACGGGAGGCAGCAGUGAGGAAUAUUGGUCAAUGGGCGGGAGCCUGAACCAGCCAUGCCGCGUGAAGGCGAGUGCCCUACGGGCGUUAAACUUCUUUUGUGCGGGAGCAAUAAGGGCCACGCGUGGCCCGAUGAGAGUACCGCACGAAUAAGCAUCGGCUAACUCCGUGCCAGCAGCCGCGGUAAUACGGGGGAUGCGAGCGUUAUCCGGAUUUAUUGGGUUUAAAGGGUGCGUAGGCGGACGCUUAAGUCAGCGGUAAAAUUGCGGGGCUCACCCUCGUCGAGCCGUUGAAACUGGGUGCCUUGAGUGGGCGAGAAGUACGCGGAAUGCGUGGUGUAGCGGUGAAAUGCAUAGAUAUCACGCAGAACUCCGAUUGCGAAGGCAGCGUACCGGCGCCCAACUGACGCUGAAGCACGAAGGCGUGGGUAUCGAACAGGAUUAGAUACCCGCGUA